AUACGUAGGGAGCGAGCGUUGUCCGGAUUUACUGGGCGUAAAGGGCGCGUAGGCGGGUGGAUAAGUCAGGUGUGAAAGCUCCGGGCUCAACUUGGAAACUGCACUUGAAACUGUCUAUCUUGAGGUCAGGAGAGGAAAGUGGAAUUCCUAGUGUAGCGGUGAAAUGCGUAGAUAUUAGGAGGAACACCAGUGGCGAAGGCGACUUUCUGGACUGUACCUGACGCUGAGGCGCGAAAGCGUGGGGAGCAAACGGGAUUAGAUACCCCGGUAGUCCACGCUGUAAACGAUGGAUACUAGGUGUAGGAGGCAUCGACCUCUUCUGUGCCGCAGCUAACGCAAUAAGUAUCCCGCCUGGGGAGUACGGCCGCAAGGUUGAAACUCAAAUGAAUUGACGGGG
This 397-nucleotide ribosomal RNA is filed under the name uncultured bacterium. Its description in RNAcentral is "partial 16S ribosomal RNA". It matches the Rfam family "Bacterial small subunit ribosomal RNA", at positions 523 to 918 of the family's 1533-position model. The record is from RNAcentral.